This is a long non-coding RNA of Phacochoerus africanus (Common warthog), 1522 nucleotides long. RefSeq lists it as uncharacterized. NCBI's taxonomy places the organism in Eukaryota, Metazoa, Chordata, Mammalia, Artiodactyla, Suidae. The transcript has 3 exons. The record is from RefSeq and is a predicted model, not a curated record.
CGGGGCCUGGGGCGCGCGUGCCCAAGUCCCGAGAGGCGGCGGCUGCGCCACUGCGGGGCGCGCCGACUCGCUGGGCAGCGGGGACUCGGCGGCCCUGCAGCUCUCGCGUCCCUCCUCCUGCCUCCCUGCGUGACCCGCCUGCUUUGGAGGGCACGCAAGGUCCGCAGUGGGUGCGGGGACGUCCGCAGAACUGGGCCCCCGAAUCUCCGUGGACCUGGGACAGAAACCACGCGCUGGAGCAUUUGGUUCAAGGAAGGAUGAAGGCGUGCACAGAAAUUUGUCUAGAAGAGGCGGGAGUGAGAACCGAAUCUGCUUGAGGCUGGCUUUCCUCUCCCCCCUCCCCCCAGCAACCUCUGUCUCCAACAACCGGUCCACAGCCAGCUUGCGGCAGAAACCAGAGCACAGACUGCAGGGGCCAGGUGAGUAGAGGCCAGACAACACUCCACCUGUCUGAGCUGGUUAUCACCAAACCGCAGGUGAGAACCCGGGAAAUAAGCCCUGCCCUAAAACACAGCAGCACCGGCCUUGCGGAGAAAAUUUCAUUUUCAGAUUAAGAAGCCUGAAUGUCCAUGUUCUGGACGGCAGGGGCUGAUGCAACACAACCUCCUCAAGAAAAAGAAAGCAUUUGUCUCCACGUGCAAUUUAAAACCUUUAAAGCCUUUUCUUAUUUCUCCCUUAAAAAAAAAGAGAAUAAACCACCAAAAAAGAAAGAUACCAUCUGCUAAUGCAAUCGCUAAUUGGCAAGGGAGAGUUCUUACAUGUUCCUACCAACAGACCCAAGAGGAGGCUGGCUUUCAGGACCAUCACUCCUGUUCCUGGAAUAAGCAGCUGAGUCUGCCAGGCACCAUGCUGCAGGCUGGAGCUGAGGGGAGUUGGGGUGGGCCAGGGAGCCACUUCCCUCACAUGCCUCUAAUCUCAUCAACCAGAAGUGCCCAGAUUCAAUAUAUUCUCUUCCGCUUUUGUUUUUUCAAAAUAAAAAGAAGAAGAAGAAGAAGAAAGAGUGAUGUUAAAAUUUUGAAUUCAGAAACAGUUGCCAUGUGGGGAAUUGAUUUUGGCUUGAAACAGGCCACCCGCUUCUCAUCAGUGGCUCCUGGCAGGGUUCCCGGGCUCAGGACACGCCUCCUCCACUCAUUUCCUGGGAAGUCUGUUCCUCCGAGGGCCGUCUCCUCGCCCCUGCAUCACACCUGGAUGCGGUUUCCUUGAGCUGCUGGGUGGCGUUGCCCUGCUCCACUCACUCCACGGCUGUCUUGGCUCCAACAUCCCCUGCCUUUCCUCCUGCUCCUGCCAGCUGAUGGAGAAGGGGCAUUCUGAAGAGAGCAGAGGGCAGUAGCAUGGGGCCGGGGCCUGGGGGUGGAGCUGGGGUGAGGCUCAGGCAGAUAACAGGGGCCAAGGGGGGUCUGAGGCAGCCAGAACCGCCUCCACGAGCCUGUUCCAGCUCCCAGCAGGCUCACUUAGGCUCCCUCGGCCUGGCUCAGAACUCUUUUCUUAAUCCAAUAAAGGGGCACUUGCCUACAUUUGAAAA